Molecule: long non-coding RNA, 1345 nt
Filed under: Sorghum bicolor (sorghum)
Lineage: Eukaryota; Viridiplantae; Streptophyta; Magnoliopsida; Poales; Poaceae
Description: long non-coding RNA (SBIC_LNC008102)
Source: RNAcentral
GACUGCCAUAUUACAGACCUGCUGGCCAGCAUUGUCUUGCUCAUUCGGGUCGACCAAAUACUGAGAGCAGUCAUCGAUGCCCUCAGGGUUCUCAUCGCCUUCGCGAUCAUCGUGAUAAACUUCUUCAGUGGGACCGCAGAUCAGGUUCAUCAUUUCCUCUUCGUGUUCUCUCGGAUCGGCCAUUUCUGCAAAAAUAUGUCAUUUCCUCUUCGUGUUCUCUCGGAUCGGCCAUUUCUGCAAAAAUAUGUGACACAUGACUACUAGCACUACUGUGUAUACCUGACAAGGAAACAAUAUAUAAAACUAGGGUUUAGGGUUUAAGGGUUAGGGCUUAGGGCUUAGGUUUAGGGUUUAGAGUAUAUCAUUUGCUAACAAUUAAAUAUAUCAUAAUUGUACCACUAAUUUAUACCACUAAUUGUACCACUAAUUAUAGCACUAAUUGUACCACUAAUAGUAAGUGAACAUCUAGAUACAUCAUAGAACAUCACUAAAUAAAUUAUAGAACAUCACAUCGCAUAUAUAUUGUAUACUUUGUGAACAUCGCUAAAAUAUGUUAUAGAACAUCAAAUAUAUAUUAUGUGAAAAAAACCUAAAUACACCAUAGACUAUCACUAAUUACAUUAAAGAACAUCGUAUAUAUAUUACGUGAAAAUAAAUAAGAAAUUGGUACUAUAAUAUACAUGAAAAUAAAUAAAUAUAUAUGAAUUUGAGCAGAGACAAUAUUCUAGAUUUAUAAGAAAUUGGUACUAUAAUAUACAUGAAAAUAAUGUAAUACAAAUAAUAACUAGAGCAAAGCAUAAGAAAAAAAAUAAAAACAUGUAACAAAGAUAAAAAUUUAAAGAACAUCGUAUAUAUAUUACGUGAACAUCACUAUAGUUAUUUCUUUGUUUAUUCAUAUUUUUUCAUUUUUUUUCAUUUUCAUUUCUCAGGCCUUGUUUAGUUCGCAAAAAUUGCAGUUUUUGGCUACUGUAGCACUUUCAUUUUUAUUUGAUAAACAUUGUCCAAUUAUGAAAUAAUUAGACUCAAAAGAUUCAUCUUACAAAUUACAGGUAAACAGUGCAAAUAGUUUUUAUUUUCGUCUAUUUGCAAAAUAGGAAUAGUACUACUUUCGUUUGUAUUUGAUAAAUAUUAUCCAAUCAUGUACUUAUUAGACUCAAAAGAUUCGUCUCAUCAAUUCCGACCAAAUUGUGCAAUUAGUUUUUAUUUUCGUCUAUAUUUAAUACUUCAUGCAUGCGUCUAAAGAUUUAAUAUGACGGAGAAUCUGAAAAAUUUUGCAAAAUUUUUUAGAACUAAACAAGGCCUAUCCCACGAGGGCUCGGGCGCACGGGGCCGGGGCUCGGGCUGC